This is a non-coding RNA of Rattus norvegicus (Norway rat), 2258 nucleotides long. The record is from RefSeq and is a predicted model, not a curated record. Lineage: Eukaryota; Metazoa; Chordata; Mammalia; Rodentia; Muridae.
UAAUAAAAAAAAAUUAUAACCUCAAAAGUAAAUAAUUAAAAAGGAAAUAGCCCUUAUUCAAAUGCAUAAAGUUCAUUAAAACAUGUUAAUCUAAGGAUUGUGCUUCAAAGUAGAAAAUAUGCUUAAUUAAAUUAUACUUUACUUACAUCUGCCUGCACAGAAAUUACAAAAGCUUCCUAAGUCAGUUUUUAUAUUAAGAUAUAUCACCUCCCAAAUUUAUAGAAUGUCAUAAGCUUCAGAUGUGCAAAAUUUGCUAUUUGAUUGGACUAGAUAUUAACACAGCAAAGAAGCUCAAAAGGUAAAUGAAACUCAUCGUUGAUAGCAAAAAAAUCAAACCAAAACAAAACAAAAACCUCACCUGAGACAGAGGGGAUGCUCAUCCAGGACAAAGGAGUUUUCCAGGUGUGAAAGAACCCAUUGUUGUAGAUGAACUGACAGAACCUAGGAGUACGUGGACACGAUAUCAACAAAAGCGAUGAUAUCUAUGAAUGCAUCCCUCUGUGAGACUCCAGGAUGUAAGUAUUACUGUCCUGCUGGAAAAAUCUGUGGGUCACAAAAUUUUUGGCAGAUUUUUAAGAUAAAAGAAUAGAGACAAAUAGCAUCAUCCUUUUGUACCCUUCAAUUCUGAAGGAAGUUAUCUGGUCUGUGAGCCAGGAAGAUCAGAGAACGUGAAAGGCAGGAGGGCCAACAUACACUGGUGAGAAAGAGAAGGGAUAUAGAAAUACUGACUCUGUGACUUACAAAAGAAACAAUAUAUCCAACAUUAAGCAGGAGCAGGCUGUGGUCUAUUUUAGAGACAUUGUGUCCAGGAAGGCCUGACUGCAGGCCUGACUAGUGGGGUGUACCCUGUGCUUGCAAAACCUCAUGCUUAUGGAACAACUCAAGGUAGAUUUCUGUGCAAGAAUUCAACAUAUCUACAAGAAAAAAGACUGCACCAAGCUCACCCUGGUCUAACCUGUCUGAACUUUAAACACUCAAUAAGCUGUUCUCUUGCCUUCUGAGUUGUAGAGCGCCCUCCUGUGGUGAACAACGGUACUGCGCAUGCGCAGGCUUUGCACCUGGCAUCAGUUGGCAGGUAAUAUGCUAAUGAGGGAGCAGCACCAUGCUAAUAAGAUAACUCAUGCUCCGCCAAUCCCUGAAGGACAAUUAGCAUAGCCUCAGCCUGCUGUCUAUAUAAGGCGAGCGCUUGAGGUUCCCCUGUCCCUGUUCAAGAGAGCUGUACAGUAAACGCUUUGCUGCAAAAGGAUCCUGGUGUCCGCGUGCAUUCUUGCAGGCGAGACGAUAGCAUGGGACACUGAGUUGACUGAAAGUUAGCACAGGGUGUGAAGGAAUCAAAUUCUUCUGGAAUGUCUAUGCAACAUGUAUGUAGUUGGUGUUCAUGGAGAUCAGAAGAGGCUGACAGAUUCCUUGCAACUGGAACUACAGACAGCUGUGAACUGCCAUGUGCAUGCUAGAAAUCAAGCCCUGGUCCUCUGUGAGAGCAAAGAGAUUACAGCUAUUUUCAGUGGGAGGAGCUAAAAAGCCAGAACAUCAAGAUAUACCAGUGUGAGAAAAAUGGUUAAACGUCAAUGUGUCAGUGGUGCAAGAUUCUAGGAAAUAACAGUAAGUGAGGAGCCAGCACAAAGAGAAGUGGAAGAAACCAUUGUUUGUUCUGUUGUUAAUAUUGUUUGGAGUUUUUCUUUUUGACACGUUUUUACUCUGUAGUAUGGACUAGCCUGGAACUCAUAUGCAACUCAGACUUGUCUUGAACUUGUUACCAUCCUAGUGCUUCAGUCUCUUAUGCGCUGGGACUACAGCAACCUUCUCAGGCUGGACUUAAAAGAAGACAGAAGCUGUGAAUUUGCCAGAGAUCAUGGAGAGGUAUAUAGAAGUGUUUGGAGGGAAGAAAUGAAAUGGAAAAGAACUUUGAAAAUAAAAGACUAAUAAUUCUUAAAUUAUCAGACAAUACGAAAUAAUAACAUGUCCAUCAAGGCAGUUUAGUCCUUUCAGCCUGGGGCUUUUCCAGUCCGUAGAGUCUUUUCAUGAGUUAGGGGGUAGGGGGAAAGAAAGGAAAUACAGGAGAAAACACUCAGCUGGUCCAUGUGCACACCUCAACUCUGAGCUGCCAUGGGUUCUGCACAAUUACAAGUGUGGUAUGAAUGCCCACUGCACGUGCAAUUCUUUAAGCCAUUUGUAAACAUUUGUAUGUUUCUUAUAAUGUAGCAAAUUUAUCAAUUUGCAGCUUAAGUUUUUAUUCAGCUUAACAGUUUCAAACUUAA